UACGUAGGGGGCAAGCGUUGUCCGGAAUUAUUGGGCGUAAAGCGCGCGCAGGCGGCUGUUUAAGUCUGGUGUAUAAACCUGGGGCUCAACCUCGGGACGCAUUGGAAACUGGACGGCUUGAGUGCAGAAGAGGAGAGUGGAAUUCCACGUGUAGCGGUGAAAUGCGUAGAUAUGUGGAGGAACACCAGUGGCGAAGGCGACUCUCUGGGCCGAUACUGACGCUGAGGAGCGAAAGCGUGGGGAGCGAACAGG
Molecule: ribosomal RNA, 252 nt
Filed under: uncultured bacterium
Lineage: Bacteria
Description: partial 16S ribosomal RNA
Rfam family: Bacterial small subunit ribosomal RNA
Source: RNAcentral